CCGAAAAUUCCAACAAAUUCUCCAAAUUCAUCAAUUGUUCUUCAUGUUCAUCUUUUGUUCAUAAAAAAAAUGCUAGAUCAUAUACAAACAGCAAAUCUCAUACAAAAUUUGUUUUUAAAAGAUUAAACACUUAUAUUUCUCAUGAAAUUUCUAAUGUUCAUCAUCCAAAAUCAAGUUUGAUCUCCAUUAAUACCAAAACCAACCGGAAAUUAGUUUCUUUUGUAUCAAACCAAUCUUUUUCCUCUCUAAGCCCAAGAACCCCAAGAACACUCCCAAAAAACAAAAUCCCAAAUGUUCUUGAUUUCAUCCUAAACUAAAUCCUGGUUUCAAUAGAAACCACCCACUUCAACCUCCCAGCCUACCCAAAACUCGACACCGGCCAAACUAUGAUCGCCAACUUUAACUCCGAUCAACGGUCGCCGUCUACCGGUGUCUUCGAAACCCGAAAAAUACACAUAUUUGAACCCAAAAAAAAGAAAUAAAACUCACCCAAAAGUUGUGCUUCCCUCCGGCGAUGAAAUGAUGGUGGACGGUGGCGACAUGGCGGCCACGAUGGCGGAUACAACCGAACCGGCACGUGAGUCACACGCCGUGUUGAUGAUGAUUAGGUCCUUUGGAGAAGACAACAUGGAUCCAAUGGCUUAGAUGGCUUUUUGCUUCUUUGCCAUGGAUUGAUGACAUGGCACUAUGUGAGUCAUUGGAUCGAAUUUCUCAUCAAGGGUCCAUAUAUUUUUGUGUCCAAGGGUCCAUAUAAAUUUGUGUUUGUUUCAGUUGGAUUGAAUCCUCCCUAGCCAUUGGAUCCAAGACAAUCGAUGGUUGGAAUUUGUUUGGUUUUCUUUCACUUGGAUAGGUGAUGUAAGCACCUAAAAUGUUGGGCCAAUUUAACUUUCAAAACAAAACAAACAUUCCCCCAAAAUUACAUCAAAAAUUCAAAAUUGGCGGCUGGAGGAGUAGUUUUAGGCAUUUUUUUGUUUUCUUAGUUUUUAUUAUUUAAUGUAUAUAUUGUAAUAUGAUGUGGGCUUACGUUGGGCCUAUGUAAAACAAAUGUAAAUAGACCUUCUUUUUGGGUUUUUUUU
This is a long non-coding RNA of Hibiscus syriacus, 1076 nucleotides long. RefSeq lists it as uncharacterized. The record is from RefSeq and is a predicted model, not a curated record. The transcript has 2 exons. Lineage: Eukaryota; Viridiplantae; Streptophyta; Magnoliopsida; Malvales; Malvaceae.